AAAAACUUAGGUUAAUUAAACCAAGAGCCUUCAAAGCCCUAAAUAAGAAUCUAUCUUCUUAGUUUUUG
This 68-nucleotide transfer RNA is filed under the name Anolis fuscoauratus. Its description in RNAcentral is "tRNA-Trp". The record is from RNAcentral. Lineage: Eukaryota; Metazoa; Chordata; Lepidosauria; Squamata; Anolidae.